This 21-nucleotide non-coding RNA is filed under the name Caenorhabditis elegans. The record is from RNAcentral. Lineage: Eukaryota; Metazoa; Nematoda; Chromadorea; Rhabditida; Rhabditidae.
UCGUCCAAUAGGAAUCAGGUU